Vespula vulgaris is the source of this 482-nucleotide long non-coding RNA. RefSeq lists it as uncharacterized. NCBI's taxonomy places the organism in Eukaryota, Metazoa, Arthropoda, Insecta, Hymenoptera, Vespidae. The record is from RefSeq and is a predicted model, not a curated record. The transcript is spliced from 3 exons.
CCUCCAAGACCAUCCUUGUCUGUUUUACUGUACAAUUCCGAUUUCGUAGUAGACACAAGUGAAUAUAUUCUUUUCAUUGGUAAUUUUUUUCAGACGAAUAUAUUAUUAGAAAAAAAAAUACAACAAUUUUUGUAAUAAUAAUAACAAUCAUUGUCAUUCUAUUAUCGUUGAAAAGAUCAGUUUAAUUUCUACAGUACUCUAGUAGUAGAUCACUAGCCAAGAUGAAACUAACAAACUUUCUUGUGAUCUUGAUGUUAGUAAUAUUGGCAGUUUGUGCACAUGCUGCUCCAAAGAAGCGCGGGUUCCCUCAGUUCCCUGGCUACGGAACAUUCAAUCCCAAGGGCAAGCUGCCUGUACCAUUUCCAAAAUUCUAACAUCUGAGACACGAAGGGAUGAUUUAUUACUAAAAUAAUUUGCGAUUGAUAACAACAAUUUGUCUUUAAAAAAUAAAUGGUAUAAUAUAACGAAAAGCUGUUAAAUAA